RNAcentral lists this ribosomal RNA (713 nucleotides) under uncultured archaeon. RNAcentral's name for it is "bacterial SSU rRNA". It matches the Rfam family "Archaeal small subunit ribosomal RNA", at positions 52 to 769 of the family's 1478-position model. The record is from RNAcentral.
UGCGAGUCGAGAGGGUUCGGCCCUCGGCAAACGGCUCAGUAACACGUGGGUAACCUACCCUCAGGACAGGGAUAACCCCGGAAAACUGGGGAUAAUACCUGAUAAGCGGAUAUGUCUGGAAUGGCUUUCCGCUAAAAUGCUCUGGCGCCUGAGGAUGGGCCUGCGACCGAUUAGGUUGUUGGCGGUGUAAUGGACCACCAAGCCUGCGAUCGGUACGGGCGUUGAGAGACGUAGCCCGGAGAUGGGGACUGAGACACGGCCCCAGGCCCUACGGGGCGCAGCAGGCGCGAAAACUCCGCAAUACACGAAAGUGUGACGGGGGGACCCCAAGUGCUCUCGCGCAAGCGAGUGCUUUUGUGAAGUGUAAAUAGCUUCAAGAAUAAGAGCUGGGCAAGACUGGUGUCAGCCGCCGCGGUAAUACCAGCUCUCCGAGUGGUAGGGAUGAUCAUUGGGCUUAAGGCGUCCGUAGCCGGCUUAGCAAGUCUCCUGUUAAAUUCUGUGACCUAAUCGUUGAGCCGCGGGAGAUACUACUAGGCUAGGAGGCGGGAGAGGUCGACGGUACUUCUGGGGUAGGGGUGAAAUCCUAUAAUCCCGGGAGGACCACCAGUGGCGAAGGCUGUCGACUAGAACGCGCUCGACGGUGAGGGACGAAAGCUGGGGGAGCGAACCGGAUUAGAUACCCGGGUAGUCCCAGCCGUAAACGAUGCGGGCUA